AACAGUACAGACUUCAAAGUUUUGUACCCCACACUGACUGAUUAUGACAUACGUUACUACAUAUAUGAGCUUCUCAAGGCAUUGGAUUACUGCCAUUCACAAGGAAUAAUGCAUAGAGAUGUCAAGCCUCACAAUGUCAUGAUUGACCAUGAGUUGCGAAAACUUCGCUUGAUAGACUGGGGUCUUGCCGAAUUUUACCAUCCUGGCAAGGAAUAUAAUGUUCGGGUGGCAUCAAGAU
This 238-nucleotide unclassified non-coding RNA is filed under the name Hevea brasiliensis (rubber tree). Lineage: Eukaryota; Viridiplantae; Streptophyta; Magnoliopsida; Malpighiales; Euphorbiaceae. The record is from RNAcentral.